CCUACGGGAGGCAGCAGUGAGGAAUAUUGGUCAAUGGGCGUGAGCCUGAACCAGCCAAGUCGCGUGAGGGAAGACGGUCCUAUGGAUUGUAAACCUCUUUUGUCGGGGAGCAAAAGACGCCACGCGUGGCGUUCUGAGAGUUCCCUAAGAACAAGCCUCGGCUAACCCCGUGCCAGCAGCCGCGGUAAUACGGAGGAUGCGAGCGUUAUCCGGAUUUAUUGGGUUUAAAGGGUGCGCAGGCGGAAGAUCAAGUCAGCGGUAAAAUUGAGAGGCUCAACCUCGUCGCGCCGUUGAAACUGGGUUUCUUGAGUGAGUGAGAAGUAUGCGGAAUGCGUGGUGUAGCGGUGAAAUGCAUAGAUAUCACGCAGAACUCCGAUUGCGAAGGCAGCAUACCGGCGCUCAACUGACGCUCAUGCACGAAAGUGUGGGUAUCGAACAGGAUUAGAUACCCUUGUAGUC
RNAcentral lists this ribosomal RNA (459 nucleotides) under uncultured bacterium. RNAcentral describes it as "partial 16S ribosomal RNA". It matches the Rfam family "Bacterial small subunit ribosomal RNA", at positions 338 to 795 of the family's 1533-position model. The record is from RNAcentral.